GCUUUGAGCUAAUUAUUGCAGAGUUACUUUGUCUCUACCCUGCGCUUCAAAGCUUUCUGUGUUCAAAGUUGGCUUGUUAGUCGGCUCAGAGCUGGACCCAAGCUGGUUCAUGCUUUCAUGUGGCACUUCUCUGGGACUAACAAGCCUUCCCUGUAAACAGAAUUAUUUCGUGUACAGAGUGGAGACAUCCAAAUGUUUCUGAAAGAGAUAAUAGGUUAUCACUAAUACUGAACUGAAGCUAAUAAGCCUUGCUGGACUCAGACUGAUGAUAUGCAGAGCUAUCCAGCUGUGGCUCUGUACAGCUUUUUCCCAAGCUCCAAUUUCCAGAAGCAGUGUUUUGUGUGGCAUUAACUCCAGUCUCACAUAGUUUAUUGUGCCAAUUGUGAUGCUACGCAAAAGAGGCAAAAUUGAUUCUGGAACAGAAUCUCAAAUCAAACACAUUGCCGGAGCUAAAGAUCCCUAGCAGACUGAAGCUGGCCGGGCAUGAAGCCAUCUUGAUGUGUAUGCAGCUUUGAUGUAUCCUGAUGUCAUCUGCAGCUUGAAUAAACCUCCUAGAAAUAUCACUGAUUGGCUGUAAAGGAUAGCCAUAAUUAAUAGCAACAUUUGUGUCAGUUUUGAACCUUAUGGUCAAGAUGAAAGCUAAUGAAGGAACAAAAAAAAAAAACCCAAAAAACAAAAAACCCUGCAUCUGCCAUUCUGUGGUUCUGCUCCUUAUUUGAAAGCAUCUUCUGUUAUUCAGAGCUUAAGAACUGAAGGAGGAUAUCCUAACAAGCAAUGAAGGUGGAACUUAAACUGAGGCAUUUUGAAAAGAUGGCAUCUGAGAAGAGUACUGGGAGAAAUAGAUCAUAGAUUGUUUCAUCUUACGUGUAAAGCAGGGUAUGUAAUAAGUGUAAUUCAUAAGUAAUAGAUAAUAUUUAUAUUUUUUUUCUAUAUCUUAUAGUAGUUGCUCUACAUUCAGCAGAUGGCAAUGCAGUGACUUAAAAGAUUUCUUAUGAAAAUAGGAAUUUAUUAACAUUCUAUUAACAAUAAUGUGGGUUUUUUUGUCAUAUCUCCUAUGUUAAACAGG
Molecule: long non-coding RNA, 1066 nt
Filed under: Phasianus colchicus (ring-necked pheasant)
Lineage: Eukaryota; Metazoa; Chordata; Aves; Galliformes; Phasianidae
Description: lncRNA (ENSPCLG00000000998.1)
Source: RNAcentral